GGGAGUGAUGUAUUUGUGAUUUGAAGCUUGGAUUGGGUGGAAUUUGAGAGAUAUGGGGUUUUGAGGCUUGUGGCGGAUUUUGAAGAUUGUCGGUAGGGAAGAAGGAAGGAGAUGACAGUGAAAUGAGGGUUGGAUUUGGAUGGAGCUUUUGAAGUUUUGUGCUGCCAUGGUCAUCUCCUCCCUUAAAUGUUGAAGUGUUUGCACAAAGAGAACAUGAGGAGAGGCAGGU
This 229-nucleotide unclassified non-coding RNA is filed under the name Hevea brasiliensis (rubber tree). The record is from RNAcentral. Lineage: Eukaryota; Viridiplantae; Streptophyta; Magnoliopsida; Malpighiales; Euphorbiaceae.